UGGUAGUUGGUUAUGUUAAAAGACUAACCAAGCCUUAGAUGCUUAGCAGGCUUUAACGAGUGAUCUGCCACAACGGGCUUGAAAUAGUGCCUGAACAUUUAUGGCAGCAAGUAAAGAAUCUUGGGCAAUGCAUUCAAGUGUGACCCAGCAAGUCUCCGUGGAUGAUGAAGAUAUUAAAUUAUAUUGUAAAAUUCUAUCUUUUUAUAUUUAUAAUGAAUUAUAAAAAGGAAAGCACAGGCUAAAUUCGUGCCAGCAGCCGCGGUAAUACGGAUUGUGCAAGUCUUUGACCUCGUGACUAGGUGUAAAAGGCCACAUAGGAGGUUAUAAAAGUUAUUGAGUAAAUACAGGGUAUAAACCUUGGAAUCUUAAUAAAAACUUUAUAACUAGAAUAUAAUAGGGGGUUUAAGAUAUCUUCUAAGUAAAGGUGAA
This 429-nucleotide ribosomal RNA is filed under the name uncultured bacterium. RNAcentral's name for it is "bacterial SSU rRNA". It matches the Rfam family "Bacterial small subunit ribosomal RNA", at positions 243 to 685 of the family's 1533-position model. The record is from RNAcentral.